RNAcentral lists this ribosomal RNA (305 nucleotides) under uncultured bacterium. Its description in RNAcentral is "bacterial SSU rRNA". It matches the Rfam family "Bacterial small subunit ribosomal RNA", at positions 337 to 634 of the family's 1533-position model. The record is from RNAcentral.
GCCUACGGGGGGCAGCAGUGGGGAAUAUUGCUCAGUGGGCGGAAGCCUGACGCAGCGACGCCGCGUGAGGGAUGAAGGUCUUCGGAUCGUAAACCUCUGUCAGCAGGGAAGAACGGUCACUGUGCUAAUCAGCAGUGAAUUGACGGUACCUGCAAAGGAAGCACCGGCUAACUCCGUGCCAGCAGCCGCGGUAAUACGGAGGGUGCGAGCGUUAAUCGGAAUUACUGAGCGUAAAGCGCUCGUAGGCGGUAUGUCAAGUCAAGGGUGAAAUCCCCGCGCUCAACGUGGGAACUGCCUUUGAAACU